UUAGAUGUUCAGUCAUCUCCACAGACAUGAAGCCAAACAUGUCUCUGGUAGCAGAAUAUUUCUGAAACAGUUUGUUUUCAAAUAACAAGCUUAAUGUAAUAAUGUUUUUAUGCAACACUAAACUUAAGGAUGUGUUUUCACUGAAACACAAUGGAAUCUAAGCUAUCAGUAAGAUACUUCAAUUUCAUUUAAGUAAUAGCCAGUUUCAUUGGCAGAAGUAUUUCUGAAUUUGCUGCUCUUUCUUAAUUUAGGUUGGUUUUGGCAUGAGACAAAUGUAUCUUCUCAAGACUGAUUAAAAGAAUUCUGGGGUUAAAAAAAAUGACAGUGUAGGAGAGCAUUAGUUGUCUUAUUUGUUUGAUAUAGUUUGCUCUUAGAAGUAUGUGUGCUCAAUCUAAUUUUUGAGAAAAUGUUACUGAUGCAAGAAACCAAGGGUCAUUUUUUCUGCUGUGGUGUUGUGCCUCCUUUCUUAUGAAAAGCCUGACUUGAAGAAAAAAAGCAACAUACACAGCAUUAAGGAAGAAUCAAAUGAUGCCCUUACAGUGCGACUAAUGAACCAACUUCCAUUUACUACUUGCUGUGAAUCUGCUUCCUUUGCCCCAGAUCUUAACUCUAUGGUCAGUUCUCUUUAAUCUUAGCACCCUCUGCUGUGGACAUCUAUAAUAACAUCUUAUUUAAUUAAUCUCUAUUUACAAGUUGUGUAUCCCUAUUCGUACUAAAGGAUCUACAAAUGUAACACAGCUUGUGCCAAUGGAGCUGCAUCUAGUCUGAAAAAUGUGUUAUAUUCCCUUUCUCAUUCCUGAAGAUAGCCUUUUCCAAGUGCUUACUAAAGAAAAAAUGUGCAGAAUACGGAUAAAGAUGUUUUAAAAUAUGCUGUGUAAGAAAGAGGCCUAAAUCAAAAUCUAGUCUUUGCAGAAGAGGACUGUAAGUAUGCAAAUGUGCUUGAGUCCAGGGAUAAUUUUGAGUUUUGCACCAGGUAAUAAAUUUUUUUUUUUUUUUAAGUUUUUAUUUGCCAUGUUUAAUUCCUCUGGAACAUGUACUGAUCAAACUACUGCUAUCUCUGGUGUCAGAUUUUCUAUGUGAAUAGCAAUAUGUGUCUUAAAGUCAAUUUUGUUAGCUCACCUUUAUCCUGAGUGUUUUUCUUGCAAGCACAGUCCAUAGCUAGUUUUUCAGGUCAAGUCCUCAUUUGUGCCGGUAGGUCAGGGCCAGCACAUGUCUCAGUACUUGAAUAAAAACAUAUAUGUUAAAAGCAUACCACUUUGAAAAUGUCUGUGAACACAUCUGUCAAUAAAGAAUAUUCUGCAGAAAUUGUUCUUUAAAGUCAAACUUUAUCAUAUCUUUCCAGUAGCCAGUUCCAUUAUUUAGUCCCUCAGAGACAGGAGAGAAUUUGCAUUUCAUUAGAGAUACAGCCUGUAAAACAAAAGAAGAAACCAUUCUCACUUGGUGAGCUAUGGUCAAUUCCUCCACGCUUGCUUACUAACAGAAAUAUCUCCUUUUUCUUCUUAGUGAAGGUACUGAGGUUCUUACCAGUGGUCCAGAUGGGAACUCCAUUUCCAAUGAUCCUUUCUUUUCUAACAAAUUUUCAUCUCACAUUUGGACUCUUUCUCCAAUGCCUGUCAGACUUGAAGUCUAAUACAAGUGGUUGCACUUCCACAGAAAGUUCAGAGACAACAUGUUCACUGUGCUUUCAGUAUUUUCCUUUAAAUGCUUAAGUAAUUGUUAUUAACCUUCUCUUCAUGUUUUCUGUUUUGUCUUUGAGACAGCAGAAUGUGUAAUAGCAAUAACCAUAUGAAUCAGUCAUUUUUCUUUUCACUCCUCCAACUCCAUCUGCUGAUCGCUCAUAUGAGAGCUCUAACAGCAAAGCUGCUUCUGAGGAUCACUGAAGAUGUGGAACAGUGAGCCGCCUUGUCAAGCAUCCAAGAGCAAAUAGCAGCAGCGAUGAGAUUUUGAAUACAUUAGUAAUAAUACUGUAUUGAUCUCAAAACACUUUACAAACAUUAACUAAUUAAGCUUCAAAACAGUGAAGUAAGUUUGCGAUGAUACAGCUGAUUUAGCAGAUGAAGAAGUGGAGGUAAAUGAAGGGCAAGCAAAGUGAUCAGAGUCGAGUGGUAAGCGAAGAUCAGAGGAAGAUGUUCUGAUUUCUAAUUGUUCUGAUGUUCAUGUGAUCUCACUGAGGAAAUUUUUGCAGGGAAACUUGCAGCCAUUUCAAAUUAAUUAUGCUGGAGCAUUUUCUAACUAAUCUGAGCACUUCUUACAAGAAACAAGAUUGUACAGAAUCUCACAAAACUUACAAAUUCUUUUAGCCUUUCAGAUCCAGCUUUGAUUGACAAGGCACUAUUUUGGAAAGCAGAGGGGACAGCUAUUGCCAUGUUCUGAGUCUUUGUGUUCCCACUGUGCUUCUCUGAUGGUACUACUUGAUUAGAAAACUGCCUUGACCUGCAAAAUGAGAAUUCACGUGGCCUUGACGCUGAUGUCAUGCAUCUAUCCCACCCUUCCAAUGGAAAAAUAAAGCCUUCUCAAGGGAUUGGUCUGGUCCAGCAGUCCUAGCCAGUCUGUGGAGUCUGAGAGGCUGCUAUAGAGUGGAAUGGUUUUAAGUCAGUAGAACAGCCCUGGCUUAAAACCAGCAUAACAAGGUGGAGCAUCAGGCACACAGUAAGUGAAUCAUGCAGAGCAGUGUUGACCCAAACAGAGCAUGACAGCUUAGAACAGGUUCCUCAGAGACAUUAAGUUAUCCUUGGAAAGACAGGUCUCAAAGCCAAGGUUUAUACUUUCUUAAUGGGUUUCAUUAGGAAGAAAGGAAAGGAACUGGAAAAAAACGUGUAGCUUAAAAGGGAACGACUUCACUGCAGUCAAAAAUUUGUUCCAUUUUUCAUUAGAAGAAGCCAGUCCUGCCUUGAAAUUCAUGUCCCUUCAAAGUUCAAGGAGGCCUAUAUUGUUGGCCUGCUCAGUCAGAACGCUCCAGCCACUUAUUGUAUGUGGAUUGCACUCCAGGGACUGCCUGAAAAAAUAUGAUUUAGUGAAAGCUUGUACCCAAAACACAUCAUUGGCCUCUGAUCUCUGAACAUUUAAAUAUUUCAAGCUUACAAGCGGACGCUGUCACGAGGACAGACCCUGAUCCCUAGCUGAUUCUAGAACAUCUGUUGAGGCAUUUACCAUGUUAAUAGAUUAGCUAUGAGAAUCAGGCAGGUGUUUUUCACCAAAGCCAGAAAACAUCAAAAUCAGAUUGCCCUCCAAGUCUUUCAGCACAGGCAAUCGAGUUAGAAUGACUCAUAGAGUCUAACAGAUAAUAAAACACACAUAACAUUUGCUUUAAGGUACAGGUGGGGAUAUUUUGUACUGUGCUUAGGAGAAAGAAAAACUAACUCUAUUUGGGAAUAGAGUAAUUGAAUACAGAUGGGAGGAGGCAAAUGAAAGAAUUUAGCAAAUAUCUCAGUGGAAUAGCUAAUGGGAACGAGACAGAAUAGGAAAUUAAAAAUUAUUCGAAGCAGAUGGACCAUUCUUUGAGUUUUUUAAAAUUUAUUAGGGCUGCGAAAAAAAUGUGUCUGUUUAUUUUCCACGGCCAUGAAAUUAAUGACUUGGUGAGUUGUGCUUGUGCAAUUUUAUGACUGCCAUGUCAUUUGUCAUAAUUUGGGUGCUGUUUGAUAUGGAUUUAUGAAUAUUUCCUCCCCCCAACAUGAUUUAUGGGUGUUGGUCAUACGUGAAUUAGACUGUCACCUUUAGUAUGAAAAAGUACAAAUGACAGAUUAUAUAUAUAUGUGUGUGUGUGUGUGUGUGUGUGUAUAUAUAUAAAGCAACAACAGUGCUCAAGUCUGUAGUGCAGGAAAGCAGAGUUCACAAUCCUCUCCUCUGUUUCUUCAUUGGAAGCUUUUGUUUAGAGUUGACAAUUAAAUGUUUGAACUUGAGUCAAGCAUAUGGGAAUAUUGAGAGGGCUUGAAUGUAUCUGAAUUCAUCUGAAUUUCACCUGUGAAACUCAGUUUGAGUCAUCCUUUCCUUGUACUGUGCAUUGAAAAAUCAGUAUAUGCACUAUUUGCCAAAGGACCGACUGAUUUACUGUAUAGGAGCAAACUGGCAUAGCAGAUUUGCUAUCUUGCUUCCAGUAGUGGCUAACUCUGAGAGAAGCUUCCAUGGAAAGUGAACAUAAUUUCACAUGACCUGUUCAGUUGUGUAGCAUUGUAUAGCUAUAGGAGUGAAGUUGAAAGACGCAUCAAACCAUCCAGAUUUCUGCAACAGUAAUAGUAUCCCAGCUUUAGAUCCAACAUACUAACUUUUAUACUGUUAUCACUUCCACCAAAACAUAAGUAUAUGCCAUUUGUUUUAUAAGAUGCAGCUAUGGGAUGAAACAGUUUAGGUUCACUACAGUUGCUCCUCGAUUCCAGCAACCUGACUGUAAGCACAUUACUGAGGCACCUGACACCAAUUGCCCAAGGCUCUGCUGCUGAUGCUGGAAAGUGAUACGCACCUCCAACAUGCAGGUGGUCAAGCCAGAACCUGAGUUAGCAAACGAGAGCCAAAUCUGCUUUGUGAUGGCAGCUAAUUCUUUGUGGUGGUGAUUUGUGGCUUCACAGAACUGAAGUUUCUCGCAAAAAUAAGCCAGGAUGGCCUAUACUUAAUUCAGGAGUGAGGGCCAGUGAUCUCAGCUGAAUCAUCAAGAAACUUUUACAGCUACUGGAGAAAAUACCACUCGUCAACUGUGGUGGAUGCUGGAGUUUUACCAUUAGGCUGAAAGUCAGCCAAACUAUGAAUCUGUCACACUGGACAUUUCUUGACCACUGAGAACAGUGUGGAAAUGCCCCAGAGCCAAGAUAGAGCAAUUUAAAGAUGUCCAACAGAACAGCAUGGUGUGUGACAGACAGUAAAGCAACUUGCAACUGAUGGCCCUUCAGAGAGUGAGGAGCAAGCACCACAAAAGCUUGUGCCUUCUCCCAGCCCCUCUAGGAACUAUUAGGAAAUGAAGCAACCACCAACAGCCUGAGCCUCAGAGGCUACUGUAGAUACCAUAAUAACCCUAAAGUUAUUAGGAGAGGUAACAGCACAGAAGAAGUCAUUGAGUGCAGGACAUGAGAUGGGUAGAAUAAGCAGGAACAAUGAAACUUAAGGCACCGUGCAGUGACUGGAAUCAAAUGUAGCAGCAGGCAAUUAAAGUCUGUUAGACUAAUGCAGCCAAGACAAGAAGGAUGUGAAGUGUGUGAUCAACACAAGUGAUCCUCUGAAAGGCCCUCAAUAAUAAAGGAAAUCAGGGAAAUUAAACAGUGUGGGCAGAACUUGUUUGCUUC
Molecule: long non-coding RNA, 5270 nt
Organism: Tympanuchus pallidicinctus (lesser prairie-chicken)
Lineage: Eukaryota; Metazoa; Chordata; Aves; Galliformes; Phasianidae
Exons: 5
Source: RefSeq, a predicted model, not a curated record